Molecule: microRNA precursor, 95 nt
Filed under: Canis lupus familiaris (dog)
Lineage: Eukaryota; Metazoa; Chordata; Mammalia; Carnivora; Canidae
Also listed under: 1 other name
Description: mir-8799 microRNA precursor family
Rfam family: mir-8799 microRNA precursor family
Source: Rfam by way of RNAcentral
GUGGGGACCACCGGAUCCUGGGCUGUGUCCCCUGGCGCCUUGGGCUCCAAGGCCUGUGCCCCUGGAAUCGUGUUCCAGGGGCUGCGCAGCCCCCU